Molecule: ribosomal RNA, 428 nt
Filed under: Chloroflexota bacterium
Lineage: Bacteria; Bacillati; Chloroflexota
Description: Chloroflexi bacterium partial 16S ribosomal RNA
Rfam family: Bacterial small subunit ribosomal RNA
Source: RNAcentral
UGGGGAAUAUUGACAAUGGGCGCAAGCCUGAUGCAGCCAUGCCGCGUGUAUGAAGAAGGCCUUCGGGUUGUAAAGUACUUUCAGCGGGGAGGAAGGGAGUAAAGUUAAUACCUUUGCUCAUUGACGUUACCCGCAGAAGAAGCACCGGCUAACUCCGUGCCAGCAGCCGCGGUAAUACGGAGGGUGCAAGCGUUAAUCGGAAUUACUGGGCGUAAAGCGCACGCAGGCGGUUGAUUGAGUCAGAUGUGAAAUCCCCGGGCUUAACCCGGGAAUUGCAUCUGAUACUGGUCAGCUAGAGUCUUGUAGAGGGGGGUAGAAUUCCAUGUGUAGCGGUGAAAUGCGUAGAGAUGUGGAGGAAUACCGGUGGCGAAGGCGGCCCCCUGGACAAAGACUGACGCUCAGGUGCGAAAGCGUGGGGAGCAAACAGG